Molecule: ribosomal RNA, 335 nt
Filed under: Orthetrum luzonicum
Lineage: Eukaryota; Metazoa; Arthropoda; Insecta; Odonata; Libellulidae
Description: partial 16S ribosomal RNA
Source: RNAcentral
UUGACUGUACAAAGGUAGCAUAAUCAUUAGUCUUUUAAUAGAGGGCUGGAAUGAAAGGUUUAACGAGGAACUGACUGUCUCAUUUUAUUUGUUUUAAAAUUUAAUUUUUUAGUUAAAAAGCUAAAAUUUUAUUGGUAGACGAGAAGACCCUAUAGAGCUUUACAUUUAAUUAUAUAAAUAUUUUUAUAUUAAUAUUUUUAUUUAAUUAUGUGUUUUGUUGGGGUGACAAAAAUAUAUAAUUAACUUUUUUAUUUAAUUAACCAUUGAUUUAUGAUUAUUAGAUCCAUUAUUAUUGAUUAUUAGACUAAGUUACCUUAGGGAUAACAGCGUAAUAU